GACGAACGCUGGCGGCGUGCUUAACACAUGCAAGUCGAACGGAAAGGCCCUGCUUUUGUGGGGUGCUCGAGUGGCGAACGGGUGAGUAACACGUGAGUAACCUGCCCUUGACUUUGGGAUAACUUCAGGAAACUGGGGCUAAUACCGGAUAGGAGCUCCUGCUGCAUGGUGGGGGUUGGAAAGUUUCGGCGGUUGGGGAUGGACUCGCGGCUUAUCAGCUUGUUGGUGGGGUAGUGGCUUACCAAGGCUUUGACGGGUAGCCGGCCUGAGAGGGUGACCGGCCACAUUGGAACUGAGCUACGGCCCAGACUCCUACGUUAGGCAGCAGUGGGGAAUAUUGCACAAUGGGCGGAAGCCUGAUGCAGCAACGCCGCCUGCGGGAUGACGGCCUUCUGGUUGUAAACCGCUUUCGCCUGUUACGAAGCGUGAGUGACGGUAAUUGGUAAAGAAGCACCGGCUAACUACGUG
This 468-nucleotide ribosomal RNA is filed under the name uncultured bacterium. Its description in RNAcentral is "partial 16S ribosomal RNA". It matches the Rfam family "Bacterial small subunit ribosomal RNA", at positions 28 to 507 of the family's 1533-position model. The record is from RNAcentral.